This 392-nucleotide ribosomal RNA is filed under the name uncultured bacterium. Its description in RNAcentral is "partial 16S ribosomal RNA". It matches the Rfam family "Bacterial small subunit ribosomal RNA", at positions 523 to 918 of the family's 1533-position model. The record is from RNAcentral.
AUACGGAGGAUCCGAGCGUUAUCCGGAUUUAUUGGGUUUAAAGGGUGCGCAGGCGGCCAUUUAAGUCAGCGGUUAAAUCGUGGGGCUCAACCCCAUUCUGCCGUUGAUACUGGGUGGCUUGAUUGCGGUCGAGGUUGGCGGAAUUCGUUGUGCAGCGGUGAAAUGCAUAGAUAUGACGAAGAACACCGAUUGCGUAGGCAGCUGACCAGACCGCAAAUGACGCUCAUGCACGAAAGUGCGGGGAUCGAACAGGAUUAGAUACCCUGGUAGUCCGCACAGUAAACGAUGAAUACUUGUUUUCGGCGAUAUAAUGUCGGAGGCAAAGCGAAAGCGAUAAGUAUUCCACCUGGGGAGUACGCCGGCAACGGUGAAACUCAAAUGAAUUGACGGGG